AUUGAACGCUGGCGGAAUGCUUUACACAUGCAAGUCGAACGGCAGCACGGGGGCAUCCCUUGUGGCGAGUUGCGAACGGGUGAGUAAUACAUCGGUACGUGCCCUGUCUUUGGGGCUAACGUAGCUACAGUUACGCUAAUCUCGCAUCCGAUCUUAUGUUGAAAGCGGUGGAUCUUCAGUCCUCGCGCGUUCUGCUCUCCCUUUUUCAGAUUAGGUAGUUGGUUGGGUAAAGGCCUAACAAGCCGACGAUCUGUAGCUGGUCUGAGAGGACGACCAGCCACACUGGGACUGAGACACGGCCCAGACUCCUACGGGAGGCAGCAGUGGGGAAUUUUGGACAAUGGGCGAAAGCCUGAUGCAGCAAUGCCGCGUGAAGGACGAAGGCCUUCGGAUUGUAAAAUGCUUUUGUAAGGAAAGAAAAGAGUCGGGAUAAUACCUGGGGAUCAUGACGGUACCGAAAGAAUAAGCACCGGCUAACUACGUG
RNAcentral lists this ribosomal RNA (484 nucleotides) under uncultured bacterium. RNAcentral describes it as "partial 16S ribosomal RNA". It matches the Rfam family "Bacterial small subunit ribosomal RNA", at positions 30 to 507 of the family's 1533-position model. The record is from RNAcentral.